Equus asinus (donkey) is the source of this 3927-nucleotide long non-coding RNA. NCBI's taxonomy places the organism in Eukaryota, Metazoa, Chordata, Mammalia, Perissodactyla, Equidae. The record is from Ensembl.
CCAUGCUCCCCGCCCAUGACUCUUCUUUCCUUGUUCUCUUCCUCCUCAGCAAGCGCAUCUGCUGCAAGGGUGCGGUCCUCAAACCCUGACGUUGGAACUACCCUUCCGGCCCCCAUAGUGAACGCUACUCUGUGCUGGCACGACACGUGCGUAAUCUCAUUCAGCAUCUCUGAUCCCAGAGGAGCAGGAACCCUGAAGUAGCCUGUGGCACUCUUGACCUUCAACAAACCCUAUGCAUACAUCAAAGUCCUAUACAGAAAGUGUCCAGGAAAUAACUGCUGAUCGAUUGUUACUUUAUUGCAGAAUUCCUUUAAGAUGGACCAAUACCAGCAGAUGGUGUUUUGUGUAUAGGAAAACAAACUGGACACUUUUCCAUUUCCUUUCGGGCCCUGGAUUACAGGAUGCUGUAUGCCCAUACUUAUCCCAUAAGGCAUGUCUCUGCCUACUGACCCGCACAGCAGCAACCCUUCCCAGCGUAUUUCUCCCUUGGCUACUGAAGACCUAAAAGCCCCAGGGAAUGAAGAACCUGUUGCCCAGAAAGGCUGAGUAACUUGCUCAGACACACAACUAGAGAGUGACAGAGCCAGACUUCUGAGUCCCUAAACUCUGAUCGGUUUACCCAACUCCCUACAUAGCACUGAUCGUUUGAAUCGAUUCCAAUUUGGUUUUCCUUCAACGGUGGAUAAACCUUUUGGGGUAUCUACAGAUCAAGCUGCUGCCACAGGAAGCCCACCUGGGAACAGGGUGAGGCAGCACUCCCAGCAGAAUAGCAGCUCGGGGCACUGGUUCUGAAGCCCCCUGCUUGUCCCACUCAAAACCCACAGAGUCCUCCUCUAAAUAAUCCCAUGAAAUGGGUAUUUUUUUCAACGUCCCUAGAUGAGAAAACUGAGUCCAGUGGGACUAACCUCAAACACGACAGCUGUGAAGCAGCCAGACAGAGAUCCAAACCCAGGUGUCCCGUGCAGCCACAGUCUCUCCCCUCCUUCCCUCACCACCACCCCAGAGAGAGCCUUUGAGAUUCCCAGGGCCAUCCACAAACCUGAUCACCCCUGGGGAAGAAGCUACUCUGAGCUCUCAUUUCCUGGGACAGAACAGAGGUCAUGUCUAUUUUCCUUGGCCCAGCUCCCUUCAGGGGAGUCAACCUUUGCCCAGCCUGAGAGCUCAAAAGACUUUUCAAGAAAAACGUUAAACACUGUACGUUUGAAGCAUUCGUUACAUUUCCAAAAUGUUUGCGCUACAUUUAAUGAUGGAGAAUUUUUUCUUUUACAAUGGAGCUAAAAGCUGCUGCAUAUAAAAGGACAGAGACUCUCAGGGUACAUGCUGGUUUGAGGCACCAGAAAGCACUGGAAAUAGAUUAAACCAUCAAGAUUUUCAGAACAACCACCAAACGUUACAGCUCGCAUUCAGACUCAUUACUGGCCUUUGCGUCCUUUGGGAAGAGGUCGAGGUGACAUAAACUCCGGAGGAGGCCUGGUGAGGGAGUGGCGCGGGGACAAACACAAGCAAACGGAAAUGACAGCAGGAAACCAAACCGGGAAACGCUACCUGGGCGUGGGCAGGAUGCCAUCCUCAUCCACGGCUGGGUGGAGAGCACGCAGGACUGGCCUGAAGGAAGCCAAGGCCAGCCCAGAGCCCACUUCUGUGGGAGGAAGAGCAGUGCGACUAGAGGCAAAGCAGAAGCCAGGAAGACACCAUGACUUCUCCCGAUCAGGAGGUGCACAAACUGGAGGCGAAGCAGGCCAUGGCAGGACUGGCACCCACACUCUAGAAGCCUGAGGAGGAAGACUGGUCAUCAUCACCCACACCGAGCUCAGAGCACAGCGCCAUCACCCCUAGAGUAACACGAAAGCAAGACCUUGCAUUCUCACUGAAACGUGUGCUGGGGGCUCUUCGUGGUUUUGGAUUGCCUUCCCCAGAAUGAGACAGAGACUCCACUAACCCCGCUAUAACGUAGGCUCCUUAACAUCCAAGGCUUUCUCUUGUUCACUGUCCCAUCCUCAGCACCAAGAACUGUGCCUGACACGGAGAGAUGCUUGCUAUACUUUUGUGGACUUGCUAAGAAAACCAGCCAAAGAGAGAAGUGCAGACAUCCUUCAUCAUUCUGCCCCCGGUGCAUCUGUCACAAAGGAGAUGCCAACCUGUGACAUCAGCGCCCUGUGCUGGGACAGCCCCCAACUCCAGCUUCUGCUCCUCUCUUAGAUCUCAAGCUGCCCGGUGACCAGCAGCCUGGGGAAACUCGUCGCCAGGCUGCCUCAGUGUGAAAAGAACUGUGCUUAUUCUAAGAGGAAAAAAGAAGAGCAUGAAGUCACCCUAUUUUGCAAUCAGGAUUCUUCAACAGCCAAAUGUGCUUAAAUCCAAAAUGCCCCCUCCCUGAGUGAGAUCACGGAUGGAGUGAGCGCUCGCGGCUGAGUCGGUGAGCUUUCGGAAAAAGCAGAGUUUUACAAUAACAGCCUCAACACACGCAGCUCCCUCUGAAAUUCUCAACCAUCCAAACAGGUUCCUGCUCCCCAAGAGAAGGACACAGUCUCUUUGUUUGCUUUAAUCCAAGGACAAAGAUGAUGACCACUGGCGACGGCUUAAGUGGAUAUUCAGCCCAUUCAAAAACAUCAGGGAUGUUUUAUUCAUUGACUUAUUCACUCAUCAACAAACACUUCUGGAGCACUGUGUCCAAGCUUGAGAAAGAACGAUCAGCAAAAACAGACUCAGUUCUACUCUGAUGGAGCUUCUGGCUGACCCUAGCUUAUAGUUUGUGGAGCUUACAGGCUGACAUCAAUCAAUCACAAAGAAACACACAAUUUCAAGUUGCCUGGAGCAUAAAUGUGGAGAUUUGAUCCAAUUGAGAAGAUCAGAGAAGACUUCUCUGAAGAAGUGAUAAUUCAACUGAAAUUUAAAGGAUUGAGUAGAAAGUAUCCAGCGAAGAGAAAGGAGAACAAAUUGUUCCAGGGGAAGGAACACAAUGUACAAAGGCUGGUAGUGAAAAAGAGCAACCCUCAGCAUGCCUGAAAUACACAAGGGGGAUGCAGUGGGAAAUGAGCCUGGAAAAGUUGGCAGGGACAGACACUGAAGACAAGUCACACGAAGAAGCUUUGUCUUCAUCCUAAGAGUAACAGGAAGGCAUCAAGGUUCUAAGCAGGAAGUGGUACACUCAGAUUUGUGUUUUGAAGCCAUGGUAGACGCAACAUGGAAAAGAAUGGGAGGGUCAAGAUGGAAGCAGGCAGACCUUUGAGGAGGCCAUGGUAGCAGUCCAUGUGACCGUUCAUGGACCAGGAUGGUGGUAGAGGAGAUGAAGAGGAGAAAAUGAAUUUGGAGUUGUUUAGGACGUCAAAGCAGCAGACCUUGCUGAUUAAUUAGAUGCAGAAUUGAGUGUGAGAAGGUAUCAAGGUCAACUCCUGGGUUUCUGGCUUGUGUGAUUGGAUGUUUGAUGGAACCAUUGAUUGAGAUAGGGCUCACUGGAAGAGGAGCAAGUUUUAAGGAGAAAUUAUUUGACACUCUUGCAAAGCAGAAGUUGGUGAGUUUGAUUUUGAACUUGUUUGCCUUGAAGAGCCUUUGUGGCAUCAAGGGGGAAAUGCCAAGCAGGCGGGAGAAAUCCUGGGACAGGAGAGAGCGUGGUGAGUUCCAGGAACCCAAGGAAGGGAGUGUGACUGGAACGAAGAGAGAACAGGACACAGCCAGUCCAUCAGGGUCCUGUGGGUUUGGGUGAGGAGCUUGGUCUUUAUCCCACUGAAGAGUUAAUUCCUGAAAUUCUGAUGAGUGGCCUUUGAAGCCAAGCCCUUUGAUUCUGAUAGAGUUAAACAUCCCAGCCAAAUGCCCUUUUCAGAGGCAGUGAGGCAGUGAAGAGCAAGUCACAUCUCAGUGUUUCAUCCAGUGCCUUGGGUUGAACAUGUGUUUAAUCAAUAUUUGUUGAGUAAAUAAAUUAAAUGUCUAAUA